RNAcentral lists this ribosomal RNA (467 nucleotides) under uncultured bacterium. Its description in RNAcentral is "bacterial SSU rRNA". It matches the Rfam family "Bacterial small subunit ribosomal RNA", at positions 28 to 507 of the family's 1533-position model. The record is from RNAcentral.
GACGAACGCUGGCGGCGUGCCUAACACAUGCAAGUCGAACGGAAGUAGAAGCUUCGGUUUUUACUUUAGUGGCGAACGGGUGAGUAACGCGUGAGAAACCUGCCUUUCAGUGGGGGACAACAGUUGGAAACGACUGCUAAUACCGCAUGAUACUAUCGGGCCGCAUGGUCUGGUAGUCAAAGAUUUAUUGCUGAAAGAUGGUCUCGCGUCUGAUUAGCUAGUUGGCGGGUAACGGCCCACCAAGGCGACGAUCAGUAGCCGGUCUGAGAGGAUGAACGGCCACAUUGGGACUGAGAUACGGCCCAGACUCCUACGGGAGGCAGCAGUGGGGAAUAUUGGGCAAUGGGGGAAACCCUGACCCAGCAACGCCGCGUGAAGGAAGAAGGCCUUCGGGUUGUAAACGUUCUUUUAGUCAGGGACGAAGAACGUGACGGUACCUGCAGAAAAAGACAACGGCUAACUACGUG